GUCUCCGAUGAUAGAACAAAAUGAUAUAACUUUCGUUCUUCUGAGUUGUUUCUAUGCGGAAGAAAAUUAUUGGAGACCUGAACUGAGGAGAC
This 92-nucleotide small nucleolar RNA is filed under the name Medicago truncatula (barrel medic). RNAcentral's name for it is "Small nucleolar RNA Z159/U59". It matches the Rfam family "Small nucleolar RNA Z159/U59". Rfam says of the family: This family consists of several snoRNA Z159 or U59 sequences which are members of the C/D class of snoRNA which contain the C (UGAUGA) and D (CUGA) box motifs. Lineage: Eukaryota; Viridiplantae; Streptophyta; Magnoliopsida; Fabales; Fabaceae. The record is from Rfam by way of RNAcentral.